AACACUUUACACGAAAAAAUAGUGUAUUUUUAUCGGUUAGUGUGCAUCGUGCUUCACUUAUUCGACUGGGACGUGAAACACCAGUUGCAGUUACGUUUACGAAAAAUCGCUCCGGCCGUCAGACUGACACAGUCUACACAACACGCUACCGUCUAAACCAUCCCUCUCAACUUACGCUCCCAUUUAUCGAGGAACUGAUCGAGAUUGGCGAUGGGCUCUGGCGCUGUCAUUACACGACGUGUUUUCGGUUAUCGUGCCAAUGGGCCGUGCAUCUCUUGGGGAACUCGAGACAGCGGACUGCAUGGCCUGUUUCGGCGAGUAUCUCAUACUAACAGUAUCCAUUGUAAGGACUAUCAUUGCCUUCCCUACUUACCACUGCUAGCGAAAUCGGUUGCUGUCCUGGGCGACGCCAUUCUCUUCCCUGGUCUUUCUCCAGCUGGUAGUGGAGACUGAACCAUGCCCCGUCUAUGACGACCGUACGCUUCCCAUGGACCUUUUAUUAAUUAACACACACGCGUUCAUGCGGCCUAGAAUCAAUUCACGGGAGACCCGUCCUUUUGGCUUCCAUAUGAAAUGACAGCUUCCGUAACGUAUCUGUCCGAUAAUCUUAAGGAUACGUCGCGGUUUAGGGUCGAGUCCGUGCAUAGACACACUUCUAUUCAUGUUCGGAGUCUCCCGUUUGAUGCAAUGCCUAACGACAACGCCGUACGUAAAACUCGAAAUAUAGCAUACAUUUGAGCAAAGAAAUUUGUUGAAUCAAGCAGUCGUUCACCCACUAAUUCUGCUAAGAAAGACGUGAACUUGUUUUAGUGACGAGCAGAGGUUGGUCUUCACCUUCAGGCUAACUUCCGCCCAGAUUUUAAACUUCCUGGCUAAUUGAGAAACGGCCUACCGUGUUAUAAUUUCAUAUAGAAAUAGAAUCGGGUUCGGGCACUUUUGGCAAUCCUGCUCCUUAACAAUUUUGUUUUAUGUAGAUGGACAACUGGCUCGCUCACGACCCGGAAGAUGUUCUUAUUGCGGCUGAAAGGGUGAAAUUUCCGGUCGGUGUCUACGUUCUGAACGCAGUAGUAUUUCGCGAAAUAUCUAUCAAGCCAUCACAACCUCGUGAAGUGCAUGUGAAAAAGCCUCUUUAUAUAUUCUAUAAAGCGGUAAAACUGUCGAUGGCUACUCUACCGAAGGUCAAAGUAUAGUUAAAGUAUAAUGGACAUGGCCAUGCGAAUGAUAACAACCUAACAAUGUCGAGUCGCUCAUCGUUGCUAUAAAGUAAGAGUCUAAAGAUAUGGAUGGGGUUUUUUGGUAAGGAUUUGUGAGAAGUUUAGACCUUAAAUGGGAGCCGUGGUUAAAACGAACGACAGUUAAACCGAAUACACGUAAUGAUCAAGAAUGCUUUUGUUGGCUGGCACCAGGACAACAUCUGAAUGAGAUCGUUCUUGCAGCCUAUCAACAGGUGCCAUCAGUUCCGGCCAAACUCAAUUUUUCAAACAUUUUGUAUAUUCACACAAUAUUA
Varroa destructor (honeybee mite) is the source of this 1507-nucleotide RNA transcript. RefSeq lists it as uncharacterized. Lineage: Eukaryota; Metazoa; Arthropoda; Arachnida; Mesostigmata; Varroidae. The record is from RefSeq and is a predicted model, not a curated record.